This 842-nucleotide ribosomal RNA is filed under the name uncultured eukaryote. Its description in RNAcentral is "bacterial SSU rRNA". The stretch from base 1 to 637 matches the Rfam family "Eukaryotic small subunit ribosomal RNA", at positions 1189 to 1831 of the family's 1831-position model. The record is from RNAcentral.
CUUAAUUUGACUCAACACGGGGAAACUUACCAGGUCCAGACAUAACAAGGAUUGACAGACUGAGAGCUCUUUCUUGAUUCUAUGGGUGGUGGUGCAUGGCCGUUCUUAGUUGGUGGAGCGAUUUGUCUGGUUAAUUGCGAUAACGAACGAGACCUCAACCUGCUAACUAGCUAUGCCCAGUCUUCCCUCCCCACCUAUCUUCUUAGAGAGACUAUCGUCGUUUAGACGACAGAUUGAUGAGGCAAUAACACGGCUGUGAUGCCCUAAGAUGUGCUGGGCCGCACGCCCGCUAUGAUGAAGUCUUCAACGAGUAUAUAUUCUUGGCCGAGACGGCCGGAUCAUCUUGAAAAAUGUCAUGCUGAUGAUAAUAGAUCGUUGCUAUUGCUGGUCUUCAACGAAUAAUGACUAAGAAGCGCGAGUCAUCAUGCUCGCGAUGACUACGUUGCUGUCUUUUGUACACACCGGUCGCUACUCCUACUGAUUGAAUGCACCGAGGAAUUGUUACUGACCCAGCGACGGCGGCGACGACCACGCCCCCGACGUCAACGAGAAUCCCAUUGAAUCAUUAUCAUUUAGAGGAAGGAGAAGUCGUGUCCCGGUGCCGAGUUCGAAUUCACCUACACCGAGCAGACCAGUCCCUGAAGUGAAGUCUGAUCUGAGCUAGUCGUGGUCAUGGCCGUAUCCGGUGCCGAGUGAAAUCGGAUCCGAUCUCAUUCCACAUAAAUACGAACCGUAACAUGUAAUGCAGAGCUGCUAGCCUAGAGACUAAUCAACUCCAUUAUUGCGUUGCUGUCCUGUUCCUUUCGGAAACUGACCUGUCGGGCAUUGUGUACUGACCCGCC